RNAcentral lists this ribosomal RNA (487 nucleotides) under uncultured bacterium. Its description in RNAcentral is "bacterial SSU rRNA". It matches the Rfam family "Bacterial small subunit ribosomal RNA", at positions 29 to 507 of the family's 1533-position model. The record is from RNAcentral.
AACGAACGCUGGCGGCGUGUCCUAAGCAUGCAAGUCGAGCGGCAAGGCGGGUAACCGCCCUAGAGCGGCGGACUGGUGAGUAACACGUGGGUGAUCUACCCUUGGUUUGGGGAUAGCUCGUGGAAACACGGGGUAAUACCGAAUACGUCGGCAUGGCUACGGCCAUGCCGGGAAAGGCGCUAAGGCGCCGACCGAGGAUGAGCCCGCGUCCCAUUAGCUAGUUGGUGAGGUAAAGGCCCACCAAGGCGAUGAUGGGUAGCCGGCCUGAGAGGGUGUACGGCCACACUGGGACUGAGAUACGGCCCAGACUCCUACGGGAGGCAGCAGCUAAGAAUAUUCCGCAAUGGACGAAAGUCUGACGGAGCGACGCCGCGUGGAUGAAGAAGGCCGAAAGGUUGUAAAAUUCUUUUGUCGGGGAAGAAUAAGCGUGGGAGGGAAUGCCCGCGUGAUGACAUGAACCGGCGAAUAAGCCCCGGCUAACUACGUG